AUUGUUUCUCUCGGCCUUUUGGCUAAGGUCAAGUGUAGUAUAUGUUCUUAUCAGUUUAACAUCUAAUACGUCCUAAAAAAAAAAAAAAAUGAGACCUGGGGUGAAGGGUGCAGCCAGACCACUGUGACUCCACGGCCUACGCGGCCAGGCUCUCUCACCUGUGUGCCCACAGGCCAAUCCCA
This 182-nucleotide small nuclear RNA is filed under the name Prolemur simus (greater bamboo lemur). Its description in RNAcentral is "U2 spliceosomal RNA (ENSPSMG00000013073.1)". The stretch from base 1 to 133 matches the Rfam family "U2 spliceosomal RNA". From Rfam's summary of the family: U2 is a small nuclear RNA (snRNA) component of the spliceosome (involved in pre-mRNA splicing). Lineage: Eukaryota; Metazoa; Chordata; Mammalia; Primates; Lemuridae. The record is from RNAcentral.